RNAcentral lists this ribosomal RNA (253 nucleotides) under uncultured bacterium. RNAcentral's name for it is "partial 16S ribosomal RNA". It matches the Rfam family "Bacterial small subunit ribosomal RNA", at positions 524 to 776 of the family's 1533-position model. The record is from RNAcentral.
UACGGAGGGUGCAAACGUUGCUCGGAAUCAUUGGGCGUAAAGCGCACGUAGGCGGACUGUUAAGUCGGAUGUGAAAUUCCUCAGCUUAACUGAGGAAGUGCACUCGAAACUGGCAGUCUUGAGUAUGGAAGAGGGUCGCGGAAUUCCCGGUGUAGAGGUGAAAUUCGUAGAUAUCGGGAGGAACACCAGUGGCGAAGGCGGCGACCUGGGCCAAUACUGACGCUGAGGUGCGAAAGCGUGGGGAGCAAACAGG